GAUGAAGAACGCAGCGAAAUGCGAUAAGUAGUGUGAGUUGCAGAAUUCAGUGAAUCAUCGAAUCUUUGAACGCACAUUGCGCCCCUUGGUAUUCCAUGGGGCAUGCCUGUUCGAGCGUCAUUUGUACCUUCAAGCUUUGCUUGGUGUUGGGUGUUUGUCUCGCCUUUGCGUGUAGACUCGCCUUAAAAUAAUUGGCAGCCGGCGUAUUGAUUUCGGAGCGCAGUACAUCUCGCGCUUUGCACUCAUAACGACAGCGUCCAAAAGUACAUUUUACACUCUUGACCUCGGAUCAGGUAGGGAUACCCGCUGAACUUAAGCAUAUCAUAAGCGGAGGA
This 335-nucleotide unclassified non-coding RNA is filed under the name soil metagenome. Its description in RNAcentral is "partial contains 5.8S ribosomal RNA, internal transcribed spacer 2, and large subunit ribosomal RNA". The stretch from base 1 to 120 matches the Rfam family "5.8S ribosomal RNA", at positions 35 to 154 of the family's 154-position model. The record is from RNAcentral.